UGCCAGCAGCCGCGGUAAUACGUAGGGUGCAAGCGUUAAUCGGAAUUACUGGGCGUAAAGCGUGCGCAGGCGGUUUGCUAAGACAGGUGUGAAAUCCCCGGGCUCAACCCGGGAACUGCAUCUGUGACUAGCAGACUAGAGUUUGGCAGAGGGGGGUGGAAUUCCUGGUGUAGCAGUGAAAUGCGUAGAUAUCAGGAGGAACACCGAUGGCGAAGGCAGCCCCCUGGGCCACCACUGACGCUCAUGCACGAAAGCGUGGGGAGCAAACAGGAUUAGAUA
Molecule: ribosomal RNA, 279 nt
Filed under: uncultured bacterium
Lineage: Bacteria
Description: partial 16S ribosomal RNA
Rfam family: Bacterial small subunit ribosomal RNA
Source: RNAcentral